Long non-coding RNA from Carassius auratus (goldfish), 3630 nucleotides. NCBI's taxonomy places the organism in Eukaryota, Metazoa, Chordata, Actinopteri, Cypriniformes, Cyprinidae. The record is from Ensembl.
AUGUUGCUAAAAGUGGGAGCAAAUGCGGAUGAUUGGCAUGCUGGUGUGUCUCUGCAUCCUUACUGUGCCAUUUUUGAUGCCCUGCCGAUCAUUUCGAGAACCAAGACCCUGUGUGCCAUCACAGUACCCUACGGAAUCUACUCGACAUAUGUCCCUUUGGCAGCUGGGUCCACAACUGUCCACCCAGCUUACGCCCGCACCUCGGCAGCUGAGCCACACUUCCCCGGGUCAGUGAGGACAGAGGUAGGAGACAAAAAAAGAAACAGCCAGGCCAUCAAUCAGUUCACAAGUCAGACAAAUUGACAAAACAAAAUUCAUAAACGAGGCCCUUUACUGACGGCAGACCUCAUAACGUUUAUCCGAAAUCCAUUUUACCUGACUGUUAUGUGAACAUUAGGGAUCAUUGAGCAUCACCUUAGCCAUGCGUGAAGAUUCAUGCCAUGUGUUUCAUCUGCAGUAGACGUCAAAAUCAAUAGCCAAUGUCAGCGGCACCAUAGCGUCUCGCUUCCUGACUCGCCUCUGCCUCAGAUUCUGACUUAAGUCUUUUAUGUUAUGACAGGAUGGGCUAUAGAUGUCAGUUUGUAGCAUUAAGGAACAAAAACUACAAAAACACACUUGCACUUCUGUUACAGAAGUGAAAUUCCAACAUCGGUGUCAAGAAUCUGAAAUAAUGGACAGUGUAAUCCGUUUAAAAAGCUGGACACCAAUGACAUGCUAGGAGAUGUAUCCACUUUCAAUGAAAGCAUAGCUCAGAUGUUAUUUAAUCACAAUCCUGGGGUCUGAACUGAGUUGGGAGGAGCAGGCAAGAAUUUUGACGACAAUCAUGAAAAACAGACUGUUAAAGUUCAUUGCAUUUAAAGGAAUGAAAUGGCUCUGUUUAGAAUUUUAAAUUCAGCAUGUCCUUGUAAGGUGUGUUACCUACAGUACAAAGCCCUGAUCAGGGCAGUGUGUGUUUGUGAGGUCUGAAGCCCCUCUGAAAUGCAACGGUCUCUAAAUCCACCCUGGAUUAGUGAAGGUUGGGUUAGAUCUGAUUGGUAACAUUGCUCAAAUCCUUCCGCAUGCUCAAAAGCUCCACAAAAUGGGAGAGCUUUAGUGUCCCUGAGAAAAGAACAAACAACCCCCUGACCCCCUCCUUUCUAAACCAUGCCAGCCAAACACAAAUUUCAUAAUAUUUCAGCAGGGUUGUAUGAAAUUUUGGAAUUUAAUUGAAAUGAGAAUGCCUUUUAAAUACCAAUUCAGUUCUUGAAUUUGAAUUGAGGUAGCAAACAGGAUGCUAAAAUUAAAAUUCAAACUUGAAUGUAAAUACAUUUGCUGCAGGUGAAAACAUUUUAAUUAUGUUUAAUUUGAUAUUUCUAUAUAUUUGACUUGUAUGAAUCUGGAUGAAGAAAUUCUGUGCAUUCUAAUAUGUCAAUAUUGUGGUUCAACCAGUAGCAUGAAUGAUGGCAGAUGGGGCAGUAUUUGGGAAACCUGUCUGAAAACAAUACUACUGGAAUUAUUUUUGCUCCCUCUAGUGGAGAACUGACAUGCAUCAGCUUUCUGAGGCUUUUUGAUUAACAUGUUUUUAAUUUCAGCCACUAAUCUGAUGGGCAAGGCCAUCUCUUUUUUUUUUUUUUUUUUUUUUUUUUUUUUUGAAGGAACAGCAAACACAAAGCAUUUCUGCAGUAAUAAUCUCUUGGGCUUUAUUCAAAUAAGAACUUCAUCAUGAUACACUACAGGCGAUCUCUGCAAAGGGCUUUCACUAAUUGAUUAAAUAUUCAUAAAUAAAUACUGCUUUAGAAAAAGCCAUCACGGCAGCUCAUGUUUACAUUUUUCUAUUUUUCAUUGGAGGAAAUGAAAGAGUGAGAACUGUGUGGAAUAACACAGUGGAAUAACAAAGAAAAGUGUGUUGUUAUUUUUCCCUGCUAAUUGAUACAAUGUCUCCAAGCAGGUCAGCAAGCUGGGUUUCACCCUCGGGCCUUCUUUCAAAGUCAGGCUCAUCUUCUACUACGGCCAGUCAAUAUUUGAUUUCAGCUGGGGCCUGGUCUUGGGCACUGACCUACAAAAGAGAUACAUUUCUUCAUCUGUCUCCUUAAGGUCCAUUUUUUAUUUCCAUACUGCAGAGUCAAUUUUUUGCUCCCUGUCAUGAGGAAAUACAUAAUUCCAUGGAUGGAGGGUGCAGUUGUGGGCCAAAAGAGGGGGAGAAACCAUACCGGCGAACCUAGCUGGACAACUCAUAGCUGGAGUUGAGAUGGAGAGUGUGUGUAUGUGUGUGUUUGAGGGUGGGAGGACAAGGCUGGUCGAAUGAGUUGAUAUUCUGCAGCUGGAAUGAAUGCUAAUUUAAUCAAUGUGCUGUAAAUUCGACUAGCUGCUGACUCAUUUGUGACUGCUGCCCCAUGGGGCCAUUGCAGUUUGCUCCCCAGGUGCAUUUUAAAAUGCCCUCUCUCUCUCUCUCUCUCUCUCUCUCUCUCUCUCUCUCUUUCUUUUUACACACACUCGCAAAGAUACACAGAUGAAUUUGCACAUACAUACAGUAUUGGAGAGCUAUAGGCAUGUUGAGGUCAUGCAUCUGCAAAACCGCUAUUUGUAUGUAAUGUGUGUGUGUGUGUGUGUACGUAUGUGUGUGUUCUUGUGUAAAGUGCUGAAUUGGUGACUUGGGAAGCACUGAGGUGAGGGGUUAGAUACUUACCUCUGUUUCCUUGGACCCAUAUGUCAGCCACUAUAGAUGUCCUAACCAUCAAUUUCAGUGACUUUUCAAACACGUAAACACAUGCACACACACACACACGCUUAAGGGAGAGUUGUUACAGGACCCAGUUGCUUAUCUGAAUGAUGUAAAUGUUAUCAUGGGUAACGUGACAGCAUUGGUUGUUGGAGAAUGAUGCAAAUCAGAGAAAAAAAACUGAGGGAAGAGGUGAAAAUUAUCGUAGGACAGUGAAAUUACAAAUGUAAUCUCUUUAAAAUCUAAAUUUUUGAGCAAAUGCAAAUGGGGACUAGUAUUCUCUCAGAUUUCUCUUUUAGAAUUUUGUCAGAGAUGUCAAGAACAUCCACUUCCACACUAUUAAAUUGCAGUAAAACAGUAGAUUAGCCAUUCCAGAAUAUCUAUACUGUUAUCAUCAUGUAUCAUGACUAAAUUAUGUGAUAUUUGCCAGAAACAUAGUAAGAUUGUAAGAGAAUCUUACCAAGUGUUCCAGUAAUCUUUCUUUCUUUUUUUCUGUAAAUAGUAAUAUGCUGUUAAAUUUAGAGAAAAUGCUGUAUGUGUGAAGAUGCUGUCACACACUGGGAUCAGAUAGCAAAAUCUGAAAUCAGCACAAAUAGUCUGAUCCACAUUUGAUUCGGUCUCAGUUGAUUUCGACGUCCUUUGUAUCUCCUGAAGUUCCGAAAAUUUUCCUCUAGGUUGAUCAAAAGGAAGAACAAGAGGCAACGAGUUUAAGAUAUAGUCUGAGGAAGAAAGAGAGUGAGAUCAAGAGAGAAAGGACACAGAGGAAUGGAGAGUGGGGACUGCUGAGGGAUAAUCCUGAGGGACAGGUUUUAUGGCUAUGUGGAAAUUUAUUUAGAAUAAGUCCGCAGUACCCAGUGCGUGCAGACUUGGGGGGAGAACGAGGGACUUUAAUUAAUGAGAGCACGCUUGUCGCAGGCUUUGGAAAGGCUGCU